GACGAACGCUGGCGGCGUGCUUAACACAUGCAAGUCGAGCGGUAAGGCCCUUUCGGGGGUACACGAGCGGCGAACGGGUGAGUAACACGUGGGUGACCUGCCCUCAGCUCUGGGAUAAGCCUGGGAAACCGGGUCUAAUACUGGAUAUGACUCCAUGACGCAUGUUGUGGGGUGGAAAGCCUUGUGCGGCUGAGGAUGGGCCCGCGGCCUAUCAGCUUGUUGGUGGGGUGAUGGCCUACCAAGGCGACGACGGUAGCCGCCUGAG
RNAcentral lists this ribosomal RNA (265 nucleotides) under uncultured bacterium. Its description in RNAcentral is "partial 16S ribosomal RNA". It matches the Rfam family "Bacterial small subunit ribosomal RNA", at positions 28 to 296 of the family's 1533-position model. The record is from RNAcentral.